CAUGCAAGUCGAGCGGUCAAAAUGAGGGGGCUUGCCCCUGAAAGACGAGCGGCGGACGGGUGAGUAAUGCGCGGGAACGCGCCCUUUGGAGGGGGACAACCUUGGGAAACCAGGGCUAAUACCGCAUAACCUCCACGGAGCAAAGCGGGGGAUUUCUUCGGAAACCUCGCGCCAAAGGAGCGGCCCGCGUCCGAUUAGUUUGACGGCGGGGUAACAGCCCACCGUGACUACCAUCGGUAGCUGGUCUGAGAGGAUGAUCAGCCACACCGGGACUGAGACACGGCCCGGACUCCUACGGGAGGCAGCAGUGGGGAAUAUUGGACAAUGGGGGCAACCCUGAUCCAGCGAUGCCGCGUGUGUGAAGAAGGCCUUCGGGUUGUAAAGCACUUUCGCAGGGGAAGAAACGGUGCGCUCUAACAUAGCGCGCAACUGACGGUACCCUGAAAAGAAGCGCCGGCCAAUUCCGUGCCAGCAGCCGCGGUAAUACGGAAGGCGCAAGCGUUAAUCGGAAUGACUGGGCGUAAAGCGUGCGCAGGCGGCCGCGCAAGUCGGAUGUGAAAGCCCCGGGCUCAACCCGGGAAUGGCGUUCGAAACUGCGCG
RNAcentral lists this ribosomal RNA (600 nucleotides) under uncultured Gammaproteobacteria bacterium. Its description in RNAcentral is "bacterial SSU rRNA". It matches the Rfam family "Bacterial small subunit ribosomal RNA", at positions 54 to 639 of the family's 1533-position model. The record is from RNAcentral. Lineage: Bacteria; Pseudomonadati; Pseudomonadota; Gammaproteobacteria.